This 328-nucleotide unclassified non-coding RNA is filed under the name soil metagenome. Its description in RNAcentral is "partial contains 5.8S ribosomal RNA, internal transcribed spacer 2, and large subunit ribosomal RNA". The stretch from base 1 to 120 matches the Rfam family "5.8S ribosomal RNA", at positions 35 to 154 of the family's 154-position model. The record is from RNAcentral.
GAUGAAGAACGUAGCGAAAUGCGAUAAGUAAUGUGAAUUGCAGAAUUCAGUGAAUCAUCGAAUCUUUGAACGCACAUUGCGCCCCUUGGUAUUCCGAGGGGCAUGCCUGUUCGAGCGUCAUUAUAACCCUCAAGCUCCGGCUUGGUGUUGAGGCCUGCUGUAAAGGCACCCUCUAAAAUCAGUGGCAGUGCUGUCAGGCUCUAAGCGUAGUAAUUCUCUCGCUACAGGGUCCCGGUGGACACUCGCCAGAACCCCCCCAUUUUUUAAUGAUUGACCUCGGAUUAGGUAGGGAUACCCGCUGAACUUAAGCAUAUCAAUAAGCGGAGGA